RNAcentral lists this ribosomal RNA (243 nucleotides) under uncultured bacterium. RNAcentral describes it as "partial 16S ribosomal RNA". It matches the Rfam family "Bacterial small subunit ribosomal RNA", at positions 534 to 776 of the family's 1533-position model. The record is from RNAcentral.
GCGAACGUUGUUCGGAAUCACUGGGCUUAAAGGGCGCGUAGGCGGGUGCUCAAGUCUGUGGUGAAAUCCUCCGGCUCAACCGGAGAACUGCCAUGGAUACUGGGCGUCUCGAGUGUGGUAGGGGUAUGCGGAACUAUCGGUGGAGCGGUGAAAUGCGUUGAUAUCGAUAGGAACUCCGGUGGCGAAGGCGGCAUACUGGACCACCACUGACGCUGAUGCGCGAAAGCCAGGGGAGCAAACGGG